CCAAUAGCGUAUAUUAAAGUUGUUGCAGUUAAAAAGCUCGUAGUUGAAUUUCGAGAUCAAUUUGUUGGUCGUGCCAUGGUACGUACUGGCAUUAUUGGUUUCUCCCUUCUGACGAACCAUGAUGUCAUUAAUUUGGUGUCUUGGGGAAUCAGGACUGUUACUUUGAAAAAAUUAGAGUGUUUAAAGCAGGCUCACGCUUGAAUACAUUAGCAUGGAAUAAUGAAAUAGGACGUUUGAUUCUAUUUUGUUGGUUUCUAGGAUCGACGUAAUGAUUAAUAGGGAUAGUUGGGGGCAUUAGUAUUCAAUUGUCAGAGGUGAAAUUCUUGGAUUUAUUGAAGACUAACUACUGCGAAAGCAUUUGCCAAGGAUGUUUUCAUUAAUCAAGAACGAAAGUUAGGGGAUCGAAGACGAUCAGAUACCGUCGUAGUCUUAACCAUAAACUAUGCCGACUAGGGAUCGGAUGAUGUUAAUUUUUUAAUGACUCAUUCGGCGCCUUACG
RNAcentral lists this ribosomal RNA (499 nucleotides) under uncultured Glomeromycotina. Its description in RNAcentral is "partial small subunit ribosomal RNA". It matches the Rfam family "Eukaryotic small subunit ribosomal RNA", at positions 591 to 1092 of the family's 1831-position model. The record is from RNAcentral. Lineage: Eukaryota; Fungi; Glomeromycota.